CGGAGCGUAGCGCAGCCUGGUAGCGCACCUGCUUCGGGAGCAGGGGGUCGGAGGUUCGAAUCCUCUCGUCCCGACCA
This 77-nucleotide transfer RNA is filed under the name Gemmobacter sp. Its description in RNAcentral is "tRNA-Pro". It matches the Rfam family "tRNA". From Rfam's summary of the family: Transfer RNA (tRNA) molecules are approximately 80 nucleotides in length. Their secondary structure includes four short double-helical elements and three loops (D, anti-codon, and T loops). Lineage: Bacteria; Pseudomonadati; Pseudomonadota; Alphaproteobacteria; Rhodobacterales; Paracoccaceae. The record is from RNAcentral.